RNAcentral lists this ribosomal RNA (199 nucleotides) under uncultured bacterium. Its description in RNAcentral is "partial 16S ribosomal RNA". It matches the Rfam family "Bacterial small subunit ribosomal RNA", at positions 328 to 539 of the family's 1533-position model. The record is from RNAcentral.
ACGCUCGACACCUACGGGAGGCAGCAGUGGGGAAUAUUGCACAAUGGAGGAAACUCUGAUGCAGCGAUGCCGCGUGAGGGAAGAAGGUUUUCGGAUUGUAAACCUCUGUCUUUGGGGACGAUAAUGACGGUACCCAAGGAGGAAGCUCCGGCUAACUACGUACCAGCAGCCCGCGGUAAUCUGAGCGGGCUGGCAAGGC